Molecule: ribosomal RNA, 491 nt
Filed under: uncultured bacterium
Lineage: Bacteria
Description: partial 16S ribosomal RNA
Rfam family: Bacterial small subunit ribosomal RNA
Source: RNAcentral
AUUGAACGCUGGCGGCAUGCUUUACACAUGCAAGUCGAACGGUAACAGGCCUUCGGGUGCUGACGAGUGGCGAACGGGUGAGUAAUGCAUCGGAACGUGCCCAGAGGUGGGGGAUAACGCAGCGAAAGCUGUGCUAAUACCGCAUGUGAUCUGAGGAUGAAAGCGGGGGACCAGGCAGCAAUGUUUGGCCUCGCGCCUUUGGAGCGGCCGAUGUCAGAUUAGGUAGUUGGUGGGGUAAAGGCCUACCAAGCCGACGAUCUGUAGCUGGUCUGAGAGGACGACCAGCCACACUGGGACUGAGACACGGCCCAGACUCCUACGGGAGGCAGCAGUGGGGAAAUUUGGACAAUGGGCGCAAGCCUGAUCCAGCAAUGCCGCGUGCGGGAAGAAGGCCUUCGGGUUGUAAACCGCUUUUGUACGGAACGAAAAGGCUCUGGCUAAUACCUGGGGCUGAUGACGGUACCGUAAGAAUAAGCACCGGCUAACUACGU